UACGGGGGGGGCAAGCGUUGUUCGGAAUUACUGGGCGUAAAGGGCGCGUAGGCGGCCUGCUAAGUCGGAUGUGAAAUCCCUCGGCUCAACCGAGGAACUGCAUCCGAUACUGGCGGGCUUGAAUCCGGGAGAGGGAUGUGGAAUUCCAGGUGUAGCGGUGAAAUGCGUAGAGAUGCGGAGGAACACCGAUGGCGAAGGCAGCCCCCUGGGCCGACAUUGACGCUCAGGCACGAAAGCGUGGGGAGCAAACCGG
RNAcentral lists this ribosomal RNA (253 nucleotides) under uncultured bacterium. Its description in RNAcentral is "partial 16S ribosomal RNA". It matches the Rfam family "Bacterial small subunit ribosomal RNA", at positions 524 to 776 of the family's 1533-position model. The record is from RNAcentral.